UGGGGAAUAUUGGGCAAUGGGCGCAAGCCUGACCCAGCAACGCCGCGUGAAGGAAGAAGGCCCUCGGGUUGUAAACUUCUUUUGUCAGGGACGAAGCAAGUGACGGUACCUGACGAAUAAGCCACGGCUAACUACGUGCCAGCAGCCGCGGUAAUACGUAGGUGGCAAGCGUUAUCCGGAUUUACUGGGUGUAAAGGGCGUGUAGGCGGGAGUGCAAGUCAGAUGUGAAAACUCAGGGCUCAACCCUGAGCCUGCAUUUGAAACUGUACUUCUUGAGUGAUGGAGAGGCAGGGCGGAAUUCCGUGUGUAGCGGUGAAAUGCGUAGAUAUACGGAGGAACACCAGUGGCGAAGGCGGCCUGCUGGACAUUAACUGACGCUGAGGCGCGAAAAGCGUGGGGAGCAAAACAGGAUUAGAUACC
Molecule: ribosomal RNA, 420 nt
Filed under: uncultured bacterium
Lineage: Bacteria
Description: bacterial SSU rRNA
Rfam family: Bacterial small subunit ribosomal RNA
Source: RNAcentral